RNAcentral lists this long non-coding RNA (2155 nucleotides) under Equus caballus (horse). Its description in RNAcentral is "lncRNA (ENSECAG00000058047.1)". The record is from RNAcentral. Lineage: Eukaryota; Metazoa; Chordata; Mammalia; Perissodactyla; Equidae.
GUCGUGUGGGUUGCCAUCAGAGAGGCCUCAGCACUGGGCCUGUGUCUACUCUGGAACGUUCUUCCUGAGCGUCACCAUGCACAUAUACCUCAUGUAGAGGGAAGAGCCUUUCCCAGGUUUCUUUACCGGAGCAGCUGCCGACAGUGGAUGAACAGUGCCUUCUCCCCAAGGUCCCAUGUUCCGGGGUCUCUGAGGUCGCUAUUUUGAGUGCUGAGAUCUUGGUUUCUACUGAUUUUGACCUCCUUUAACAUUACUCGCAGCAGUUCCCUGCUUCCUCCAGGCCAGAGUGACCACUGGUGUUUUCUGUGACUGGCAGUCCUGGCUGAGAAGGAGAAGCCAACUGCUGAAGGUCAGACAGGGUUGGUAACAAGAUGAUCUGUGACUCUUUCUUCACUUCAAAACCCUUGGACACCCCCACCCACCACUCUGCACAAUGUCUCUCUAGUAAGAGAGAAAGCUGGAAGACGAGCUCUAGGUAGCACAGCCACCAGUCACCAUGAUGCUCUAGAAUCGGCAGUCAUUACUGUGAGAAGUUGCUUUGGAUUCCCCAUCAUGAAUAGUGCCGCAGAAGGGAGAAGUCAGCUCUGGACACGAGUCCCCACUGCGCUCAUCUCCCUCAUAAAGGGGGCCAGCAUUGCAGUGUUUGGCUUUCUUCUUUUGCACAUGAGGUGGCAAGUGGUCAAGAAGAAGGGGAUACUGUAAUUUGAGGGCUGUCUUGGAUCAUCACGGUUAUAGAGCUCGUGGGUCCAGUGGUAAGAGCAGGUCCUGCUCAGGCAGAGUCCAAGGGAAGGUGACAACAGAGGAGACUGGAGCAGUGCCUGGGGAAAAGGAAGUGAAGAGUGACAGGCCAAGUGUUGCACCACAGAUCAGUCUUUAAGCUGGAAUGGGGAUCAGGACCCCUGCUGUAUGUCCCUUCAAAGAGCCGUGACUUUCACCAGCCAGCCAACCAACAAAACAACUACCAUUGUUUUGUGCUUCAUCCAUUAUCUAAUUUAAUCCUUACAACACCACUGUGAGGCUUAACUUUGGGAGCCCACCUGCAUCACCACCUCGUAGAAUAAAUUUAACUGGACUGAUCUAUUACCAGGACUAAGAAAUGUGUUUGGUGAGAUGAAACAAUGUACCACUCAGCUUCUGGACUAUGAAACUUCUUAAAGUUUCAAAGGACUGUGAAACUUAAAUUUCAAAGGUGGGACUGGAAUUGACCACCCCAAGAUAUGUCUCUUUGGCAUAAGGAUUAUUUUGGGCUGGUUACUUUUAAAAACUGCAGGCAUGAGAGAAACUCUGAAAAGUAGAAGUUACCCUUUGAAAGAGACAUUUACAUCGUAAAGGACAUCUCCAUCUAUAAAGGUGUCUCCCUCUCUGUACCAGGAAGAAGGGGGGAUGACCUUAUCUCCAGAAACUCUUAUCAAUGCAGAAGGCAAGGACUCAAGUCUGCAUAAUAGCCUUACUCUUGUUGACUGUGCUUUUCUGGUAAUCUCCCAUAACUGACUCCCCCCACCCCCAACAUCCUCCUUGGUCUUUAGUUGAGGGUGGUAUUGAAGGUGAGAGCUUCUGCCAUUUUGUGAAUUGCUCAGUUUGCCUGGGUCUCUCCCAGGUAUACACGCUAUAAAGCUUUGUUUAAUUUUCUCCUGUUAUUCUGUCUCAUGUGAAUUUAAUUUGUUUUCUGGCCAGAAGGACCCAGAGAGUAGAGGAAAUGUAUUCCUCCCCUACACUGCAAAUAUACUUUGCUUUGUGAGACAACUACUUCUGGUGGAGCGUCUGAUUGAACUUGCCAGGAGGGAACCCAGCCUGCCAGCCCCACAGUGCAGCCAGGAAGAUCCAUGUUCAAGGUGACCAAACCACUCUUUGCCUUAAAGCCUACAGGAUAAUGGGCCAGCCCUUAGCGGACAUACAAGGCCUGCCGCAGCCCGAAUCUCCAGGAAUGAAACUGAGAAUUUCAGUGAGGCACCUGUCUCCUCAGUUCAAGACUGCAUCGCUCAGCUUCCCUUGCCGCUGGCUGUGGCUUGGGAUAAAGUUUUAGCCAAUGGGGUGUGAGUGGAGGGAAUGUGUGCCACUUCUGGCUUCCCGGGCCUCAGUGUCUGCAUCUGAAGAAUGGGGACGAAUGAUUCCAGUCCUAACCAUUUCAUAGUAUUCUGAACAAGAACCGACUGAG